Anas platyrhynchos (mallard) is the source of this 4743-nucleotide non-coding RNA. The record is from RefSeq and is a predicted model, not a curated record. NCBI's taxonomy places the organism in Eukaryota, Metazoa, Chordata, Aves, Anseriformes, Anatidae.
GAUUAAUCGGAGCACGGUGAGAGUUGCUGUUUAUAUCUAGUUAUUCUUCUCCCCUGUGUCAUGAAUCAUCUGAUACACCCGAAACCGAGAACAGAUUGCAGCGGAGUAUGAACUGCUCGUGGCUGGGUACUGCCAAGUGUCUACAUCCUCUGGGCUGGAAAACUAUUCAGAGGCAGCUUGGAGGUGUGCUGAACAGCAUGCCACUGCUGCCAAGAUGCAAACUUCAGAAGCUGAGACCACAUUAUAGUGGAGCAACUUGUUACAGUGCCUGUUAGCAAAAGACUGCUGAGACCCCUGAAGAAAGAUUAUUGGAGUGCUGGUUGUCCCUUUCUGCUGCUGACUCCUGUUUCCUAUGUGACGACAUGUCCUGUAGCCAGAAGCAAGCCCAGCCAACAUGGAUCUUGGCUUGAAGACUGUGGAGGGCACCAUAUGGCUGCUGACCACCCUCAUUGAACACCAGGGACAAAGAAAAGGAUGGAGGACUGUCAUUUGCUAGGGUAGGUUGGUAAUAAUGAAAUACUUCCACCACCCUGCAAAGAUGUGACAUGAGCGAUUCGCCAAAUAUCCCUGCUAAUCCACACGUUUCUCCUUCAACACCAUUCUCCAAACUGCUAUGACAAUAUUUAUGCUUUGCCAGAAUCGCUUCCCUACAAAUAAAAAAAUAGUUACACAAAGCAGAGAGCACAGCAGCUAGGUGCAACUGAGAGCUCCUCCUCUUCACAUGCCUCCCCCCCCCAAAAAAAAAUAAAAAUUUGUUUGCAGGAGCUGGCAGCAGAGCAUCUCUGGCAGCAUUUUGCUCUCACGUGAGCACUGCUGCGGCUCCAACCACAAAGCCGAGAGCUGCGUGUACAGACCCCGGAAAUAAUUCGUCUCUCUAAUUUUACAGCCACACUAAAUUACUACGGGUGCAAUUCUGCAGGGCACCGAAAUUGAUCUCAGCAGUGAAACUGCACCCGCGGAUUCUGCCUGAGUGACCCUGUUUAAAUUGGAGCACUGCGGAAAAGACAAACUAUCGGGAUUGCUUUUAUUGCAGCCUCUACUACAGAUAUUUUCCAGUCGGGUGUGUUGAUAGGAGGGAGAAGAAUAAUCAGCCUUGACUGUCUUAGCUGUGUCAGCAGAAGCCUCUGGUGCUCAGCCGGCUGUAUUGGCAAGAAUUCGUGUUUGCUGGGAUAGUUUGGUUUGCUCAUAAAAUACAGCUUUGCUUUCUUUAGCAGUGCAAAGAAACCAGGAUCCAACCUUGGUGCUUGCACUCAAUCUCUACUGAGGAGCAAUGUUUUUCAAACUUUCAUGUGCUGCAGGCUGGGACUUUUCUGGUGCCCACACGUGUGGGUGAGGUGCAGCACACCUCUGUGACCUGUUCUGGUAGACACCUAAAGACAUGAAGAACCUCCCUGCUGACCCUGAAACCCCUGGCUGGAAGGUGAGAGUCACCCAGCCAGGAGCAGAAGCAAGAGGAAAAUGGCUUCAGCUGGCCUUCAGGAAGAAGCAGGUGAUGUCUUUCCCCAAAACACCCGAUACUUCUUGGUGAUCAUUUAUGCUAUUGCUGACAUACUGCGAGGAGCAGAACCUCCUGCUGCUUCCCAGAUGAGACUCAGAUCUCUCUUGCUAGCUUUCCUGAGCCCCUUCACUGAUUGCAGUCCCCUGUUGAUGGGCCAGAAGGUGCCUCAUUCUCCCUCUCUGACUGCCCUCCAUGUAAGGCUGGCAUGCGCUCAUAUCAGACAAAAACUGAUCUUCUCAGGCUGAGGAAAGGUUGGAGACAAGGCUGCUCACACUCAAGGCACAUUUUCCACCCACUAGUCAUAUUACACGGAGAGCUGGCAGGGAGAGGCAGAAGAAAAGACCCACUUUUCUGUAAAAAGCUGCUGAUCCUCCACAGAAAAGCAGUACCUCUGGUGGAAUGAGUCAUCCAGCAUUUCCUACUCGUUUCUUAAAUAAUCAAUGGUGAGGGAUGCUCAGUCUAAGAUGCUGAAUUAGUAUCUGGAAGUUUCUAGGGUGUCCUUUUUCCCUCUUUUAACUGUGCAGAGGAUUUGCUUUAGGGGGGCUGGACUAAACAUUUCUAUACUAUGGAGAAGAAGCCUAAAACGUAGGCAUGUGAUGAUCUAAAUAGGGUGCUUGCUUGUGUUUGCACAGCACUGAAUCAGUUCACGCACCACAGCAGUACACCUGCAGUGCUCCAGCCCCUGACUGGAGCUCAGUUCGUGGGGCAAGACUUGAAGCAGACCGAAGUAAACCCCCUGAAAUUAGUGUAGUAAGCUUGACAGGUCUUUAGCAUCAGAGGACCACCUCUCGGCCUCCAAAAUCUGCCCCUGCUGCUCCUCCUGACUGGCACAGCCCAGGUCAGUAGUGCUGUGUCUGUGCUGUGCAGGGAGCCACAUGUGGUGGCAUUUUUCAGGCCGGGAGUGCAGCAUGCUCCCUUCCCUCGUGUCCCAUCCUACUGCUGUUGCUCCUCAUCUUUUACCACUGUUCUCCUGCUCUGUCUUCUCUCUUGCACCCACUCAGCAAGCUGCUUAUCUUCCAGGGAUAGCUUUGCUCUGCAGGUCAGAGCAGCUGCUAGAAACAGCUUGACUUCUUCUUAGCGCUUGAGGAGUUCCCUCCCUCCCUCGCUCCCAGGCCUGACUGCUAUUGAUUUAAAGGCGUUUAUAACAUAUCUGCGCCUCCAGUCUAAUGACACAAACUAGAUUUCAAGGGUACUGAACUAACAGAGUAUCUUAGCAACAAAUAUUUAUUUUAAUAACAGCAUUUCUAGCCAUGUUAAACAAACACCUACUGCAAUAGUCUGAAUGCCCCAGAGCGCUUUAUCCCGUCCCACGACCCAUUUUCUGUUGGCUCAUCCUCACUAAAAAGAGUUGCUAAAGUCAAUGCCGUUGUCCCGGAGAGGUCAUCUUCAGCACCCUCUCGACUUGUUAGACUGGUAUCAGAGAAGAAGCAGACCACCAUGCUCCUGGUAGCUCCCCAGACAGACUUGCUGUAGGGGUUUUCCUCUGACCACCUCCCAGAUAUUUCUGGUGGUUGUUUACAGUGACCUGCUCUGAGCAGGGGUGUUGAACUGCUUUUGCACUGUCUGCUUACCACACAUCCAGAGGCUGCAAUGCUCCAGUUGCUUCCCUGGCAAUGACAGACAAGCUGAUGCCUGCUGUCUUCAGAUGCCUUGAUCGCCAUCCUCUCCCUAAAGCUGUCAGGAAGCAACCUCCCUGCUAACUCCUUGCUCAGGCUCAUUCAUGCUGCUCACCCCAUUCACUGCGAGGUUCUCCAUCCAUUUCCCUUGACGCAUAUUAGAGUUUGGAGAGGACUUUUGUUUAAAAAAAUUCAUCUAAAAAUUAGAUGGAGUGGAAACAUUCAGACACCAGGAGUAAUUGCCAGCAUAACUACGUCUCUUUGCUGCUUUAAUGCCAUUGCACAUUUUGCUGUUACCUUUGUCUCUCCCCUGCUAGCUGAACUGUGAGAUUUCCUGUGUCAUCAAACCACAAUUUGUAUGAUCAUUGUUAUAAAUAUGUGAAAGAAAAUAAUGGUUUGUCUUAUAGAAUAAAACAACACAGUUUGAUAUUAUCCUAGCGUAUCUUCAGAGUCCUCGGGCUGCACACUGUUGUUCUCUGAUGGGUUGAAAGCUCUUUCUUUUGACAAAUCCCACUAGUACCUGCUUUUGAACUCUCCUACUGAGAUAUUUUAGUAAGGGAAAUAUCCAGGGACUAUUUUCUCAGCACAUCUCCACAAGGGAUAAAUCCAGCCUUUCUUAUCUUCAGCACUUGUUGGAAUUCAGCUUUGUUUUGGAAAGGGAAUGGUACAGUCAUCUCAAGGGUGCAGCCUCUCCUGUGUGGUGUUUUCAUGGGGAUCAUUCAGCCCUGCAUCCUCCACCCCUCUCUAAGGAAAAUCCAGCAGGACAGAGAUUUUCCUUUAUUGUCUCUCAUUAAUUUGUGUGUCACCAGCUGUGAAACGAGCAGAGCCUGAGAAACUGCCCUUGGGAAUCAGCAUGGUCCAGACCGGGCCAGCAGCACUUGCUUAGCUCCCACUGAAUAGCUGUUUUGCCAGGCUGACUUCAGUCCAAUAUUUUUCUCUCUUCCUCCCACCACCCUCCUUUCCUGGUACAAAUAAGUGUUUGUGUACAACCCAGGGAAAAACACCUCCUAGAGUUUUAUAAAAAUAAACGUCAGCCUGCCACUGAGCUAGUCAGGAAUUUCUUACAAGGUGGAAAGCUGUACAAAAGCUGCCAUCGUGCAUUAUCCUCCUGUGUCAGGGGGAUAGAUCUGUUGUCCUACAAAGCACGUGCAUGGGCAGGAGAAUUAGCAACAGCACCCAGCAUCCUGAAACAGCCACAAGUCUUGAAGAAGUGUUAUGGCAAGAGUUAUGGUUUGCACUGGGGCAGCUGCACUUACCCUGUGUUGAAGGAAGGAUAUCACUCACCUCUGUCAUCCUUGCUUGUUCUUAGCUCAAAUCAAGCACGUGGUGUGACCUCUGCAUCUCCCUUUGCAAGUCAGAGGAGGGGUUUGGGUGGGAUGCUUGCUAGGCUUGGUCUGAAAGCAAACAGUUCUUCCUCCCAUUCUCUCAGCACAACUUCAUUGUUGACAAGGACAGAGUGAAAGUGACAUCCUGGCCAUUUGAUUUGUUUGCUUGUUGUGUUCAUUUGUUAGGGAAGCACUUUGAAGCUAUUAAUCUAUUAUCUCAUUCCUACCUGAGAACACAAUUUCAUUACUGCAUUUUUGCAUUUUACAAGUUUUGUAAAUAAACUGAGUGGCAUCCUUGCUUCAA